UACAGAGGGUGCGAGCGUUAAUCGGAGUGACUGGGCGUAAAGGGCAUGUAGGCGGUUAUAUUAGUUUGAUGUAAAAUACCCGGGCUUAACCCGGGACGUGCAUUAGAAACGGUAUAGCUAGAGUAUGGGAGAGGGAAGUGGAAUUUCCGGUGUAGCGGUGAAAUGCGUAGAGAUCGGAAAGAACACUCGUGGCGAAGGCGGCUUUCUGGCCCAUAACUGACGCUGAGGUGCGAAAGCAUGGGGAGCAAACAGG
This 253-nucleotide ribosomal RNA is filed under the name uncultured bacterium. Its description in RNAcentral is "partial 16S ribosomal RNA". It matches the Rfam family "Bacterial small subunit ribosomal RNA", at positions 524 to 776 of the family's 1533-position model. The record is from RNAcentral.